UACGGAGGAUCCAAGCGUCAUCCGGAAUCAUUGGGUUUAAAGGGUCCGUAGGCGGUCUUAUAAGUCAGUGGUGUAAGCCCAUCGCUUAACGAUGGAACGGCCAUUGAUACUGUAGGACUUGAAUUAUUGGGAAGUAACUAGAAUAUGUAGUGUAGCGGUGAAAUGCUUAGAUAUACAUGGAAUACCAAUUGCGAAGGCAGGUUACUAUCAAUAUAUUGACGCUGAUGGACGAAAGCGUGGGGAGCGAACAGG
RNAcentral lists this ribosomal RNA (252 nucleotides) under uncultured bacterium. RNAcentral's name for it is "partial 16S ribosomal RNA". It matches the Rfam family "Bacterial small subunit ribosomal RNA", at positions 524 to 776 of the family's 1533-position model. The record is from RNAcentral.